AUCAUGGCUCAGGACGAACGCUGGCGGCGUGCCUAAUACAUGCAAGUCGAACGCGUCUCCGUUAAUGAUUUUAGGUGCUUGCACUUGAAAGAUUUAACAUUGAGACGAGUGGCGAACUGGUGAGUAACACGUGGGUAACCUGCCCUUGAAGUAGGGGAUAACACUUGGAAACAGGUGCUAAUACCGUAUAACAACCAAAACCACCUGGUUUUGGUUUAAAAGACGGCUUCGGCUGUCACUUUAGGAUGGACCCGCGGCGUAUUAGCUUGUUGGUAAGGUAACGGCCUACCAAGGCGAUGAUACGUAGCCGACCUGAGAGGGUAAUCGGCCACAUUGGGACUGAGACACGGCCCAAACUCCUACGGGAGGCAGCAGUAGGGAAUCUUCCACAAUGGACGAAAGUCUGAUGGAGCAACGCCGCGUGAGUGAUGAAGGGUUUCGGCUCGUAAAACUCUGUUGUUGGAGAAGAACAGGUGUCAGAGUAACUGUUGACAUCUUGACGGUAUCCAACCAGAAAGCCACGGCUAACUACGUGCCAGCAGCCGCGGUAAUACGUAGGUGGCAAGCGUUGUCCGGAUUUAUUGGGCGUAAAGCGAGCGCAGGCGGUUUUUUAGGUCUGAUGUGAAAGCCUUCGGCUUAACCGGAGAAGUGCAUCGGAAACCGGGAGACUUGAGUGCAGAAGAGGACAGUGGAACUCCAUGUGUAGCGGUGAAAUGCGUAGAUAUAUGGAAGAACACCAGUGGCGAAGGCGGCUGUCUGGUCUGUAACUGACGCU
RNAcentral lists this ribosomal RNA (775 nucleotides) under Lentilactobacillus buchneri. RNAcentral's name for it is "bacterial SSU rRNA". It matches the Rfam family "Bacterial small subunit ribosomal RNA", at positions 16 to 747 of the family's 1533-position model. The record is from RNAcentral. Lineage: Bacteria; Bacillati; Bacillota; Bacilli; Lactobacillales; Lactobacillaceae.